AUACGUAGGGGGCGAGCGUUGUCCGGAAUGAUUGGGCGUAAAGGGCGCGUAGGCGGCCCGGUAAGUCUGGAGUGAAAGUCCUGUUUUUAAGAUGGGAAUUGCUUUGGAUACUGUCGGGCUUGAGUGCAGGAGAGGUAAGUGGAAUUCCCAGUGUAGCGGUGAAAUGCGUAGAGAUUGGGAGGAACACCAGUGGCGAAGGCGACUUACUGGACUGUAACUGACGCUGAGGCGCGAAAGUGUGGGGAGCAAACAGGAUUAGAUACCCUGGUAGUCCACGCUGUAGACGAUGAAUACUAGGUGUGGGGGGACUGACCCCCUCCGUGCCGCAGUUAACACAAUAAGUAUUCCACCUGGGGAGUACGAUCGCAAGAUUGAAACUCAAAUGAAUUGACGGGG
Molecule: ribosomal RNA, 396 nt
Filed under: uncultured bacterium
Lineage: Bacteria
Description: partial 16S ribosomal RNA
Rfam family: Bacterial small subunit ribosomal RNA
Source: RNAcentral